RNAcentral lists this long non-coding RNA (304 nucleotides) under Elaeis guineensis (African oil palm). RNAcentral's name for it is "long non-coding RNA (EGUI_LNC080431)". Lineage: Eukaryota; Viridiplantae; Streptophyta; Magnoliopsida; Arecales; Arecaceae. The record is from RNAcentral.
UCGGCUGGUUAGUCGGUGCCUCUUCAGUCGGCUGGGGGCGUCGAUCGGCAAUCGGUUGGGUCGGCGGACCCUUCCGGAAUUUGUCGAGGUACCCCCGGCGGAUGAGAUUUUCGAUCUCAUCCUUCAACUGGAUGCACCGCUCGGUGUCGUGGCCGUGGCUCCGAUGGAACCGACAGUACUUCCGACGGUCGAGGCCCUUUGCCUUCAGAGGCGGAGGCCGUCGCAGGUAUUCCUCUCCCUCGAUCUCCAUCAGGAUCUGCGCACGGGGAGCGGAGAGAGGAGUGUAGGAGUCAUACCUGGGACG